RNAcentral lists this ribosomal RNA (253 nucleotides) under uncultured bacterium. Its description in RNAcentral is "partial 16S ribosomal RNA". It matches the Rfam family "Bacterial small subunit ribosomal RNA", at positions 524 to 776 of the family's 1533-position model. The record is from RNAcentral.
UACGUAGGGUGCGAGCGUUAAUCGGAAUUACUGGGCGUAAAGCGUGCGUAGACGGUUAUUUAAGUCAGGUGUGAAAGCCCCGGGCUCAACCUGGGAAUUGCAUUUGAGACUGAAUAGCUAGGGUGCGGAAGAGGGAAGCGGAAUUUCCGGUGUAGCGGUGAAAUGCGUAGAUAUCGGAAGGAACACCAGUGGCGAAAGCGGCUUCCUGGUCCAGCACCGACGCUGAGGCGCGAAAGCUAGGGGAGCAAACGGG